CUGGGGAGAGCUGGAUUUCAACGUGAAAUACACAGAUAUGCAAGUGGCAUGGCUUCGCCUCAGAUGACAGAGGAGACAAGAGGUGAUAUAUGGUAGAUUGGUGUGAGAAAGACCCAGAGGGACUGGCACUCUGCAAGCUUGCACUGUCUGCACUAAAUGUAGAGACAUAUGGUCAAGUGGUCAAGUACAAACUGAAGGCCAUGCAGGUGUUGGCCAUUCAGCACAAAUCCCGGAAGACAAAGGAGAAUCCUGUUAAUAUACGGCUGUGCAACAGUACAGAGCUCUGCUCAUUGAUAAAGAAGAACUGAACAAACGGCCUUAUCGCUGUGAGAAGUCAACAUCCUUCACAAUGUUGCAACAUGGAUAUACUGGAGAAAUGAUAAAGACAGAACCACACUGA
Molecule: long non-coding RNA, 400 nt
Organism: Micropterus salmoides (largemouth bass)
Lineage: Eukaryota; Metazoa; Chordata; Actinopteri; Centrarchiformes; Centrarchidae
Exons: 2
Source: RefSeq, a predicted model, not a curated record